GACGAACGCUGGCGGCGUGCCUAAUACAUGCAAGUUGAGCGAUGAAGCUUGGUGCUUGCACCAAUUUGCAGAGCAGCGAACGGGUGAGUAACGCGUGGGGAAUCUGCCUUUGAGCGGGGGACAACAUUUGGAAACGAAUGCUAAUACCGCAUAACAACUUUAAACAUAAGUUUUAAGUUUGAAAGAUGCAAUUGCAUCACUCAAAGAUGAUCCCGCGUUGUAUUAGCUAGUUGGUGAGGUAAAGGCUCACCAAGGCGAUGAUACAUAGCCGACCUGAGAGGGUGAUCGGCCACAUCGGGACUGAGACACGGCCCAAACUCCUACGGGAGGCAGCAGUAGGGAAUCUUCGGCAAUGGACGAAAGUCUGACCGAGCAACGCCGCGUGAGUGAAGAAGGUUUUCGGAUCGUAAAACUCUGUUGGUAGAGAAGAACGUUGGUGAGAGUGGAAAGCUCAUCAAGUGACGGUAACUACCCAGAAAGGGACGGCUAACUACGUG
This 497-nucleotide ribosomal RNA is filed under the name uncultured bacterium. RNAcentral describes it as "partial 16S ribosomal RNA". It matches the Rfam family "Bacterial small subunit ribosomal RNA", at positions 28 to 507 of the family's 1533-position model. The record is from RNAcentral.